AAAUAUCCCUAUAAUUAUGCUAAUAAUUAUCCCUAUAAUUAUGCUAAUGAUUAUUACAUAAUUGACUUAUUAUAACACUCAAGUUGGAGCAUAUUUGUUUACCUUGCCCAACUCAUUACAAAUGUAGUUAACCCUAACUUCAUUUAGAGCUUUUGUAAAAAUAUUGCCUAGUUAUUCUCCAGUCUUGACAUUUCCAUUUCAGAUGACCUGCUGUUGAAUUUCACGAAUGAAGAAUGUUGAUAUGCUUGGUUCGUUCAUGAAAUACUAGAUUAGAGGCAAUGUAGUGGGCUGCUUGGUUAUCACACCCCAACUUAGCAGAACUUAGCAGGUGAUGAGACCUUAAGAUCGACUUCAUCCAACAAUUGAUGUAUCCAUACUACUUUGCACACAGAUUGAGCCAUAGCUCAGUAUUUUGAUUUAACACUUAAACAAGAAACCAGAUUUUGCUUCUUACUCUUCUGUGAUACUGAGUGUCCUCUAACGAAAACACAAUAUUCUGUAGUAGAUCUCCUAUCAAUCUUCGAUCCUGCUUAAUCAGUAUCAGAAAAACACUCAAUAUCUAAGUGGCCAAAUUGCUAUAGGAGACUGUGUCCUGGUGCACCCUUUAAAUAACACAAAAUCUAUAAGCAUCGGUGGGGGAGUACACAAACUGACUUACAAUACUAAUAGCUUUUGCAAUAUCUGAAUGGGUUAUUGUAAGAUGGUUUAACUCGCCAAGCAACUUAUACAUUUCAAGAUCAUCAAAUAGUUCAAUAUCUCCCGUUGCAAGUUGAAGACUACGAGCCACUGGUGCAUUGCAUGGUUUGGCACCCAAUUUCUCUGUUUCAGCCAACAGAUAAGAAUGUACUUCCUCUGAGAUGGGAUAAGUAUGCAUACAUUUACCUUUGCGAACAAUCAUGGGUAGGUCUUCGCAAUAAUGGGUAGGUCUAAAUCAAAGGUAGGAGCGGGAAUGAUGAUUGGAUUUUCCGACGAAGAAGCUGUUGUUGCAUGGCCUAAGUCAAGAGUCUCCACCCUCUUAGAAUAAAUAUGUUGUGGAGGACGAAUAGUUAUUGGAAUAGAUGAACCUGUAGGAUGGUGAGGCACAAACAUGUGAUUGAUAGAAUAUGCUAAUAAAUCAUUCUCCUUUCUGUGACUUUCAUAAGUGGGAGACUGGGAGAAAAAAGGACUAGAUUCAAAGAAUGUUAUAUCAGCAGACACAAUAUAAGGAUUAAAGUCAAGAGAGAAACAUCGGUACCUUUUUUUUGAAGUCUGGAAUAACCAAAGAAGAUACAUUUAAGGGAUUUGGGAUCCAAUUUAGUGAGUUGUGGACUAACAUCUCGCACAAAACAAGUACAACUAAAUAUUCCUUUGAAAAUGAUACAAUAUUUAUAUACAAAAAUCUUAUAAUCAUGUAUUCUAAGUUUAGAAAGUAUCUCUAUAAUUAUUCUAAUUGUUAUCCUAUAAUUUUGCUAAUUAUUAUUGCAUAAUUGACUUGCUAUAACACAAAUAUUUCAAAAAUUUCAUUAUACUUUUCGGUGGAUGGC
RNAcentral lists this long non-coding RNA (1523 nucleotides) under Manihot esculenta (cassava). RNAcentral's name for it is "long non-coding RNA (MESC_LNC010047)". Lineage: Eukaryota; Viridiplantae; Streptophyta; Magnoliopsida; Malpighiales; Euphorbiaceae. The record is from RNAcentral.